GCUGUGGCUCAAUGGCAGAAUACUUGCUUUGCAUGCAAAAAGGCUAGGUUCAAGCCCUAGCAUAACCA
Molecule: non-coding RNA, 68 nt
Organism: Podarcis lilfordi (Lilford's wall lizard)
Lineage: Eukaryota; Metazoa; Chordata; Lepidosauria; Squamata; Lacertidae
Source: the annotation of a GenBank genome assembly